UAUUUUUUCAUAGAGAUGGGGUUUCACCAUGUUGUCCAGGCUGAUUUUAAACUCCUGGAUUCAAGCCAUUCACUCUCCUCAAGGAUGGGAUUUUAAUAAUGAUCCAUUGCAUCUAAGUCCCACAGAAACUGAAGUGAGGGCAAAAGGAGGGUGAGAGAUCACGAAAAGAUGAGAGAGCUCAUGGCUGGGAGGUCCUGAAGGGACCAAACAGUUGUUACAAGAAGAUAGCAUUUGCACUUGAGUGCUUUCAUAGGCAAUGCAGGCUCACUCUGUCCCAAACUGAACUGUUGAACUUUCUCUGUCAAACCAGCUCCUCUUCUGGUCUUUGGCAUUUCUGUGAAAAGAGCUAACAUCACCCGCAGUUACUCAAGCUAGGAAUUUCAGUCUUUGACUCUUCCCUCCCCCUCAUUCCACAUAUACACAUGGACGUUUGUUCCUACUGCCUGCAAAUUGUUCAUUAAAUAACCAUUUUCUUCAUCUCCACUACCACCAAUUUAGUCCAAGAGAAAGUUCACCUCCUCUCUCACUCAGGAAGAGCUUCCCCACCAUUCUCCCCAAUCCACACUUUCCACCUUCCUCCAUGUAUUGUCUACACCACAGCCAGGCUGGUGGAGUUUUUUUUUCCAAGCUACCCCUUUUAAAGACAUAACUUUUACAAUGUAAUUCUGACUUCUUCCCCUCUUGCUCUGGAUAUGGCAAGUAGCCUUUCGGUCAGCCUGUAUCUGCUUCUUCAGCCACCAUGAGAACCUCUGUCCCCAACAACUCCUAUGCUUCUCCGCUCUUGCUGGCCUUCUCUCUGCCCCCAACCAGCCCAAGGUCUCCUCUUCCCCUGGGCCUUCACAGAUGUCAUGCCCUCACCCUGCUGACUCCUACUGCCCCUUCAUGUCUCAGCUCUAAUGCGACAUCCUCAGGAAGCCUUUUCUAACCCCACUCAGCUCCCAAGCUAGGUUCUAUCUGCAAGUUGUUGUACACACUUCUUGCUGAAUAACAUAGAUGCCAGCAGAUCUCCUGAGACAAUGCCUAUCUCAGAGGCUCUGGUCUAGACCACCUAGCCCAGGAAUGCACACUCUGAGAAUUUCUUUGACGUGUUUCCUCCUCAGGAGACCAGAAGUUUCCACAAGGCUAGGUUGGCAGCAAUUGAAAUUUAUUCUCUUAGUACCCUGGAAUCAAGUUGAUAUCUAUAAAUGCUGGCUGAACAAACGAGUUUGUGAAUGAUUGAGAAAUGUGGAUUUUGCCCCCGGAUUCAUUUCUGUCAUUUCUGACCUUACUGGUUCCCUGCCUUCUUCUACUCCCUCGUUCUGGGCAUGUGCUUUCUUUCAUGAGGCCUAUAGGCUUAUAGUGCAAGGUACAAAAUCAGUUACCAUGCAGGAAGGUUUUCCACCUGUUCUUUACAAAAACUGAACUUUAUAGUUCAGCUUCCCAUCUUGCGAAAUUUAUAGCUUUCCAGCUUGUGAAACGAAACACUUAAGAUCUGCCACAAAACACACCCCUUUGAAAAGGCUAUUUGGUUCUGACAAUAAAUAUGAUAAACACACAUGGAAUAAACGUCAAAUAGAUCAAAGUGCUAGAUUCAGAAACAAUUAUUUCUUCUUCCCUGAACUCCUCUCUUCCCAUUUUAAUGAACAAGCAGCACACGCACGCACACACACACACACACACACACACACACACACACAGAGAGAGAUCUUCAUUGUUCCAUAAAAUUAUAGCAUCAGAUAUACCCUAUUGUUACCUGACUUUCUUCACAUAGUAAUAUAUGUUGAAGAUAUUAAAUAUCAGCCCAUGUUGCUUACCCAAUUCUUUUAGGUGACCCCUAGAAUUCUAUUGUAUGUUAUGCUAGAGUUUACUUAACUAGACCUAUAUAAAUGGGCACAAAAUGCUACCAUAAAUAUUCUUGUGUCAUAUAUUUUUAGGUGUUUGAGUACAUGCACUCCUAAAAGUAGACUACCUGGGUCAAAAGGCACAAGCACUUAAAAUUUUGAAAGAUAUUGCCAACCAAAGAGGUGAUACCAGUUGUGAGGGACUGUGCCCGAGAAUGUGGGUUUUUCAACACUCACACAGUUACAGUUUCAAGUUUGUUUGUCUUCAUUUCUGAUUAUUAAUCAUCAGGGAUUUGGGGCAACUUCAGAUUUUAGUUCCUCUUCCUGUGAAAUGUAAUAAACUCUGAGUGAAUAAAACCUAAAGAAAAUCUAUAGCCCUUUACUUCUGCUACAUCACUUCGUUGUGAAUAUUCUCUUUUUUCACUUUAUCUUUCUUCAGGUAAGAUGCUUGGCUACAAACAUCUAAUACUCUGGCAUAUUUGAAGGGUAGAAGAAAAGAAUUGCACAAGAAACUACCCAGAUCUUCCUACUACACCCUGUUGCUGUGAUAUGAUUUGGGGCAAGUUACUAACAUUUUGGAAUUUCUACUUUCUCAUCUGUAAAAUGGGUACAGUGUAUUGUCUACUCAUCAGGUUGCAGUGGGGAUUAAUUGAGAUAAUAUACACACCUAGAACAGGCUAGACACUCAACAUAUGAUAAUAUCGUUAGUGCAGACUUAUUUGUGCGUAGUUAUACUGCACUGAGGCUUGAAAAACAGCAUAUUCUGACAUUCGUUCAUGCCACAAAUAUUAAGGACCCACCACCAUGGGCCAGGUACUGUGUUGAGUAUUGAGGGCACAGAAAUAAAUGGGUCUUGAGGAAUCUCAGUGCAGCACAGCACUUAAGAGCACUUUGUGGUCAGGUGGGCCGGGGUGGGCUUUACUAUUUGGUCAAAUAAUAAAGAUUCUCUGAAGGACAAGUUCCUCAUCUGUCGAACAGGCUGAAAAAUAUCUGUGGGCAUUGUCAUUGAAUCCUUUGAGAGUUGAAUCAGCCUUUAUCCAUUCUUCUUUUCGUGAUGGUAUCUUGACUUGAGGAGACACAAAACAUACUGAGAAGACAAAGACCUCCCUAAAGAAAACAGAUCAACUCUGAGCUUCCUGGUGACACUCAAAGCCUUGUGAGAGGAGCAGUGUGAAGAAAAGGCGAGAACAAUCCCUGGACCAACCAAAGUCCACAGGCUGCUGCAUCCCGCACCCAGUUCCUACGUCCCAUCGCCGGUGCCAGCAUGCCUGAGAGAAUGGCUGAAAGCGGUGCUAAAGGAGAUAAGACCAAGGUGAAGGAUGAACCGCAUAGCAGAUCUGCAAGUUGUCUGCUAACCCUGCCCCUCCAAAGCCAGAGCCGAAGCCUAAAAAAGCACCUGCAGAGAAGGGAGAGAAGGUACCCAAAGGGAAAAAAGGGAAAAGCUGAUGCUGGCAAGGAGGGGAUAACCCUGCCAAAAAGGGAGAUGCUUGAACAGACCAGGCACAGGAAGCUGAAGCUGCUGGGGUUGCCGAGGGGAGUGUGUGCAUUUUUGAAAACUGUGUACUUCUGGUGGCUGUACAAUUUGAAAUACUACUUUUUAUCAAGUUCUAUAAAAAUCAGAAUUUUGUUUUACUCUUUUUAAAGCUAUGUUGUUAUUACACAGAACACUUUAUUGUUGUUUUUGGAGGAAGGGGCAUAUGUCACUAAUAGACUGUCUCUGAAACUGGACUGAUGUGGGGAAAACACCUUUCCCUUCAAGUUUUUAAUUUUUUUUUUUUUUUUUAGUAGAGAAGGAGUUCCACCAUGUUGGCCAGGCUGAUCUCGAGCUCCUGACCUCAAGUGAUCUGCCCACCUCGGCCUCCCACAGUGUUGGGAUUAUAGGCAUGAGCCACCAUGCCCAGCCCCCUUCUAGUUUGGAAAGACUUCCUCUUGGCUCCCAGGAGGAGGGAUUCCCUGACUUUGACCACAUGGUCACCUUGGCACAAAAGUCUUAUGGUAUGAAAAAACAAAUUUAUUCGUUUUUACGUCUUCUUCCUUUCCAUCUUUCAGUGUAGCCUUAACUCCCAUAAACCCAGACACCUAUGGGGACCUGACCCCCAAUAAUGGUUACCAGUGUGUCAGGCAAUCUGGACUUUCCAGUGAGGCCUCUGAGAUGGUGCCCCUCAAAGGAGUAGCAGUUCUGAUUCUAGAUUGUGGAUCUUCAGAUAAAUUCUGCCAUUUUUAUUUCACUUCCUGAAAGUCAGAGUUGGCCCGUGAGAAGCUGUUAGACAGCAUGCAAAUGUGAAAUGUCAAUUGUCAAUCUAAACUUUCCCUGUUCAGGGCGUCAGUCAAAGACUUCAUGGGUUUUACAGUUGCUUCCUGAUUUUUGGUAGUUUAUGGAGGAAGAAAGUUUGAAAGUUGUCGUAUACUGUUUAUGAUUGUCUAGCCAUGUCCUGCUGAAAUACCAUGACUGUUGAUGGACAGUAUCUCUAGCAAAGCUAAAUACAAUUUAGCUUGGGGAAAAAAAAACAAAGGUCUCCUGACAGCUGCCACAGACCUGCACCCAAGAGCAUGUUUCCAGAAGUUCCCGCUAUACACCCUAAAUCCCCUUUGAGAACAGACUGGUCUGUCAACUGUAAGUCUUUGUUUUCACAUUUACAAUAUGAAAAUCAUCACAUGUUUACAUGAUGGCAGUGUUGUGAGGGUAUUGUUCACAAAGGACUGACGCUCAAAAAUGUUAGCAAUUAUUGUUGAAAGAAAAAAAACAAGAAUUAGGUAAUGAAUUGUAGCAUCUCCCUUUUCUCCCUUUAACAUUGUGCCUUAUUCCUCAGCAAAUGAGCAAAAGAUGCUGUUGGCCGCCUGACAGAUGGUUUUAGCUGGUGAAUCCGAUGAAGAAUCUGGAUCUGCUGGUGAAUGUCCAGCCUGUUGUUGCUGAGUUUGAACCAUGGGAGAGGCAGUUGUUUAUUCUGCAGGCAUUGCUUGAGUGCCAGCCACAUACUGGGCAUGGCUCUGGUGCUAGGGACAGAGAACUUGGUAUUUCUGGUGAACAAAGGCAAGCAAUUGCCCUGUUGGCAUGGAGCUGACCUUCUAGUGGGGGAACUGAAAACAGACGGCACCCCCAUGUCUAGAGGCUUUCCCAGGUAUACACUUUCCCAUGUAUACACUCCCAUGUUCUUGCAGCAAGGCUGAGCCACAGGGAGAUUACAUGAGAUGCUCAGGCUUAAAGGGCUAGUGGGGGUGGAAAGCUGGUAUUGGAGUCUGGGCUCUGGUGGUUUGGAAGAGGAGAUAUGGCCUGGCAGGAAUCGUGUGUACACAGUGAAGUAGAAAGAAUAAUACAGAAAAAUAUAUCUUUACUUAAAUGGAAAAAAAUACGUAUACAUACUCAUGGAAAAUAUAUAUUUUUUCAGUGGAAAAAAAUAUAUAUAUAUAUAUUCAUUUAAGUAAAAUAGGAGUAAAGAUAGGAGCUCAUGAGAAGUCAACUUCUCAGCCACAUCCUCCCUUAGGUCUGACUACAGCUUAACAGAUCUGGUGACUUUUCGGCUCUCCCACUGCCCCGCCUCUUUCACUCAGCUACUAUUCCUUAACCUUCAGGUAACAGCUUAGACACUCCAAAUGUGAGACAUGUUUUACAGGCCUUCACAUCUGAAUUACAAGCUCGUAUCAUGGAUAACCAUACGCAUUCUAUACUUUCUGGUUUUUUCAGAAAAUUUUGCCACCCCACCUCCAUCCCCUAUUAGACUGUAGAAGGAAACCAAACAAUCUUAGUCUCAGGCGCAUCUUCAGUGGCUAGCAAGUCCCUGGUGCUUAGAGGGCACUGCGUAACUAUUUGUUGAUGAGUAUCAUACUUCAAUGCAAUUCUUUUUACUUACAUCCCCUUAUUCAUCCAUUCAUGCAUUAAAUAUUUACUGAGCUGUUUUAGGUUCUGGGUUUAUAGCAGUCAAGCAAAUUCAGUCCCCAGAAGUUUAUAUUUUAAAGUGGAAUAGAUGUAUAAUAGACAAGAUAAGUAAACCAUAGCAUAUGUGAGGUGGUGAUGAGGGCUAAGAAGGGAACUCAGCAAGGAACGGGAUAAGGACUGUGGGGAGGGCUGCAAUUUUGGAUAAAGGACCAAGGAAGGUCUCACACAGAGGGUGGCACUUGGGUAAAAGUCUGCAUACAGGGAGGUGAAAUCUGGGGAAACAGGGCUCCAGACCGAGAAGAGCAAUUACAAAGGCCCUAAGGCAGAAGCAAGUCUGGUGUGUUCAGAGAACAGCAGAGGUCAAGUAACAGGUCCAUGGUACAGGAAGAAUAAAGAGAGAAUAAGUGGGAGAUGAAAAUAGAGGUGUAAUUAAUUGUGUGUGCGUCGGGGACCCAGAGAUAGCUAAACACUAGCGGAGAAAAGUGACAUCUCCUGACAUGUUUUGUCAGGCUCACUCUGGCUGUGUGUUGAGCGGAAACGGAAGUGAGGUGGGGACAGAAACAAUAAGGCCAUUUUGGAAGCUAUGGUGCCAUAAUCCAGACAAGGGAUGAUGGUGCCUUGAACUGGGUUGGCAUCAGCAGAUGCAAUUAAAUUCUGAAUAUAUUUUAAAAGUACAGCAGACAAGAUUUGUCGAUGGAGUAAAGAGAUAAUGAGAGCGGUCAGAGACAACUCCAUGAUUUUUGGCUUGAGCAACUUUAAGGAUGGAGUUGUUAUUUACUGAGUAGAGAAAGACUGUGAGAGGAGAAUUCAUCUGGGGUAUGUUGAGCUUAAGAUGCCUGUUACGUGUCUAAGUGAAAAUGUUGAGACAAACACCAUACCACGCUGCACAAAAGUUAACUUAUUCAAUCCUCAUAAGAACCUCCCCAUGAGGUAGGUGGUAUCCGUGACGCCAUCUUACAGGAAAGAGACUGAGACCUGAGGCCCAGAGAGGAAGAGUGACUUUUCCAAGUUUACCUAGCUGGUUGGUGGUGGAAGUGGAGAACUGGAAUUCAAGCCUAAGCAACGAGGCUCUGGAAUUCAUGCUCACUUUGCAAAACACACACACACACACACACACACACACACACACACACACACUCACUCUCUCUCUCUCCCUCUACCUCUCCACCUCAUUCUAGUCACUUAAGAAAUUCCUUGUUCUGAGCACUCAUUGAGCCCAUUUGUGAGCCAGUCACUGUGGGUGCUCUGAUUAGAAUGGGUAUGAGUCACUUUCUGUGGGCCUGAUCUUCGGAGUGGAGUCCCACACGGGCUGAGAAUAAAGCAAUGGGCAGCCUCUCCAGAGCAAAAUCAGCAUGUCAUCACCAGAAAUAAGAUGAAUAGAUGCUAAAUA
Molecule: long non-coding RNA, 7084 nt
Organism: Sapajus apella (tufted capuchin)
Lineage: Eukaryota; Metazoa; Chordata; Mammalia; Primates; Cebidae
Exons: 2
Source: RefSeq, a predicted model, not a curated record